CAAUAGCGUAUAUUAAAGUUGUUGCGGUUAAAAAGCUCGUAGUUGGAUUUCUGCCGAGGACGACCGGUCCGCCCUCUGGGUGAGUAUCUGGCUCGGCCUUGGCAUCUUCUUGGAGAACGUAACUGCACUUGACUGUGUGGUGCGGUAUCCAGGACUUUUACUUUGAGGAAAUUAGAGUGUUUCAAGCAGGCGUACGCCUUGAAUACAUUAGCAUGGAAUAAUGAGAUAGGACCUUGGUUCUAUUUUGUUGGUUUCUAGAGCUGAGGUAAUGAUUAAUAGGGAUAGUUGGGGCAUGCUAUUAAUUUAUGUCAGAGUGAAAUUCUUGGAUUUAUUAAAGACGGACUACUGCGAAAGCAUUUGCCAAGGAUGUUUUCAUUGAUCAAGAACGAAAGUU
RNAcentral lists this ribosomal RNA (394 nucleotides) under uncultured eukaryote. RNAcentral's name for it is "SSU rRNA". It matches the Rfam family "Eukaryotic small subunit ribosomal RNA", at positions 592 to 991 of the family's 1831-position model. The record is from RNAcentral.